RNAcentral lists this ribosomal RNA (146 nucleotides) under Proteus mirabilis. RNAcentral's name for it is "partial 16S ribosomal RNA". It matches the Rfam family "Bacterial small subunit ribosomal RNA", at positions 1397 to 1533 of the family's 1533-position model. The record is from RNAcentral. Lineage: Bacteria; Pseudomonadati; Pseudomonadota; Gammaproteobacteria; Enterobacterales; Morganellaceae.
UCACACCAUGGGAGUGGGUUGCAAAAGAAGUAGGUAGCUUAACCUUCGGGAGGGCGCUUACCACUUUGUGAUUCAUGACUGGGGUGAAGUCGUAACAAGGUAACCGUAGGGGAACCUGCGGUUGGAUCACCUCCUUACCUAAGAGA